This 1540-nucleotide ribosomal RNA is filed under the name Klebsiella pneumoniae. Its description in RNAcentral is "bacterial SSU rRNA". It matches the Rfam family "Bacterial small subunit ribosomal RNA". RNAcentral also lists the same sequence under 2 other names. The record is from RNAcentral. Lineage: Bacteria; Pseudomonadati; Pseudomonadota; Gammaproteobacteria; Enterobacterales; Enterobacteriaceae.
AAAUUGAAGAGUUUGAUCAUGGCUCAGAUUGAACGCUGGCGGCAGGCCUAACACAUGCAAGUCGAGCGGUAGCACAGAGAGCUUGCUCUCGGGUGACGAGCGGCGGACGGGUGAGUAAUGUCUGGGAAACUGCCUGAUGGAGGGGGAUAACUACUGGAAACGGUAGCUAAUACCGCAUAACGUCGCAAGACCAAAGUGGGGGACCUUCGGGCCUCAUGCCAUCAGAUGUGCCCAGAUGGGAUUAGCUAGUAGGUGGGGUAACGGCUCACCUAGGCGACGAUCCCUAGCUGGUCUGAGAGGAUGACCAGCCACACUGGAACUGAGACACGGUCCAGACUCCUACGGGAGGCAGCAGUGGGGAAUAUUGCACAAUGGGCGCAAGCCUGAUGCAGCCAUGCCGCGUGUGUGAAGAAGGCCUUCGGGUUGUAAAGCACUUUCAGCGGGGAGGAAGGCGGUGAGGUUAAUAACCUCACCGAUUGACGUUACCCGCAGAAGAAGCACCGGCUAACUCCGUGCCAGCAGCCGCGGUAAUACGGAGGGUGCAAGCGUUAAUCGGAAUUACUGGGCGUAAAGCGCACGCAGGCGGUCUGUCAAGUCGGAUGUGAAAUCCCCGGGCUCAACCUGGGAACUGCAUUCGAAACUGGCAGGCUAGAGUCUUGUAGAGGGGGGUAGAAUUCCAGGUGUAGCGGUGAAAUGCGUAGAGAUCUGGAGGAAUACCGGUGGCGAAGGCGGCCCCCUGGACAAAGACUGACGCUCAGGUGCGAAAGCGUGGGGAGCAAACAGGAUUAGAUACCCUGGUAGUCCACGCUGUAAACGAUGUCGAUUUGGAGGUUGUGCCCUUGAGGCGUGGCUUCCGGAGCUAACGCGUUAAAUCGACCGCCUGGGGAGUACGGCCGCAAGGUUAAAACUCAAAUGAAUUGACGGGGGCCCGCACAAGCGGUGGAGCAUGUGGUUUAAUUCGAUGCAACGCGAAGAACCUUACCUGGUCUUGACAUCCACAGAACUUUCCAGAGAUGGAUUGGUGCCUUCGGGAACUGUGAGACAGGUGCUGCAUGGCUGUCGUCAGCUCGUGUUGUGAAAUGUUGGGUUAAGUCCCGCAACGAGCGCAACCCUUAUCCUUUGUUGCCAGCGGUCCGGCCGGGAACUCAAAGGAGACUGCCAGUGAUAAACUGGAGGAAGGUGGGGAUGACGUCAAGUCAUCAUGGCCCUUACGACCAGGGCUACACACGUGCUACAAUGGCAUAUACAAAGAGAAGCGACCUCGCGAGAGCAAGCGGACCUCAUAAAGUAUGUCGUAGUCCGGAUUGGAGUCUGCAACUCGACUCCAUGAAGUCGGAAUCGCUAGUAAUCGUAGAUCAGAAUGCUACGGUGAAUACGUUCCCGGGCCUUGUACACACCGCCCGUCACACCAUGGGAGUGGGUUGCAAAAGAAGUAGGUAGCUUAACCUUCGGGAGGGCGCUUACCACUUUGUGAUUCAUGACUGGGGUGAAGUCGUAACAAGGUAACCGUAGGGGAACCUGCGGUUGGAUCACCUCCUUA